Molecule: long non-coding RNA, 505 nt
Organism: Cyanistes caeruleus (blue tit)
Lineage: Eukaryota; Metazoa; Chordata; Aves; Passeriformes; Paridae
Source: RefSeq, a predicted model, not a curated record
UUGACAACCCCCUAACAAACAACAUAAACUGGGACGGGAACAUGGAAGACCUUAUGGGCUCAGACAAAUAAGGAGCCCAACAGAGAUGUAUCCUACCUGGCCAAUCUUCAUGUGAAGCUUCUAAUCCCAUUUUCCACACCUUUGAUCAUUUUUCCCCCUUCACUAGUGAACACAGCCACAUCCAUCCUCACCCAGCACAGUUUUGGCUCCCCUGCUUCCAGUUACAGACAAACAUCUCAUGGCAGCUCACAAGGGAGGAUUCAAACAGAGCACUGACACCUCACAGGGCAGCCCAAAACAAGAGACCCAGGUCAAGGCUCAGACACCUCUGACUCAUACCAAGUUUCUGCAGGGCCUGACACAACAGGUCGACAGACUCUCCUUGAAAUCAAACAACAGCAAGCACAAGGUGACGGUGUCUUGGCCAGGAAGGACCCAGAUUCAAGACAGUCCUCAGAGGCACAACUCCAAGCUAAAUAAAUGUUGAUGAACUCCUUUCUCUUCA